Molecule: ribosomal RNA, 497 nt
Filed under: uncultured bacterium
Lineage: Bacteria
Description: partial 16S ribosomal RNA
Rfam family: Bacterial small subunit ribosomal RNA
Source: RNAcentral
GAUGAACGCUGGCGGCGUGCCUAAUACAUGCAAGUCGAGCGAACGGACGAGAAGCUUGCUUCUCUGAUGUUAGCGGCGGACGGGUGAGUAACACGUGGAUAACCUACCUAUAAGACUGGGAUAACUUCGGGAAACCGUAGCUAAUACCGGAUAAUAUUUUGAACCGCAUGGUUCAAAAGUGAAAGACGGUCUUGCUGUCACUUAUAGAUGGAUCCGCGCUGCAUUAGCUAGUUGGUAAGGUAACGGCUUACCAAGGCAACGAUGCAUAGCCGACCUGAGAGGGUGAUCGGCCACCCUGGAACUGAGACACGGUCCAGACUCCUACGGGAGGCAGCAGUAGGGAAUCUUCCGCAAUGGGCGAAAGCCUGACGGAGCAACGCCGCGUGAGUGAUGAAGGUCUUCGGAUCGUAAUACUCUGUUAUUAGGGAAGAACAUAUGUGUAAGUAACUGUGCACAUCUUGACGGUACCUAAUCAGAAAGCCACGGCUAACUACGUG